GUUUCGGUAAAAACCCUUUACGGGAUUUCCCUUAUUCCAAGUAUUUUAUUGGAUAUUUGUUCUUGGAAAACGCGAGUUUAUGCAUGGCAGACGGAUCAUGUUUCAAAGGUUUUGACAAUAAAGUAUUAUUGUUUAGUUUUUAGUAUCGAAAUUUGGCGUUGUAUAAGGCCCGUUUCAGACGCCACUCCAUUAAAUUAUUUCAACUAUUCUUUACGCAAAUCACAACUCUGUUAAUAUAGUUUUAUGCUGCCUAGACGAGUAUAUAUGUAUGUUUCUCUUGGGAAAGUCCCUGUGAGGGAAAUACCCGUUAUUCUAAGAAAAGCAACUGCGUAUUCCAGUUAUUAAAUCGUACGAGACACUUCCUGAAACAUGGCGAACUAUGAUAGGCUGAGCGUUGUA
This is a non-coding RNA of Paramuricea clavata, 399 nucleotides long. The record is from the annotation of a GenBank genome assembly. NCBI's taxonomy places the organism in Eukaryota, Metazoa, Cnidaria, Anthozoa, Malacalcyonacea, Plexauridae.